This is a long non-coding RNA of Rhinopithecus roxellana (golden snub-nosed monkey), 577 nucleotides long. RefSeq lists it as uncharacterized. The transcript is spliced from 4 exons. The record is from RefSeq and is a predicted model, not a curated record. Lineage: Eukaryota; Metazoa; Chordata; Mammalia; Primates; Cercopithecidae.
AUUGGAAAUACGGAGUUCUGGCUUCCUUACAAUCCGUGAUUCUAUCUAAGAGGAAAUAAUGAUGGGGGAGGGGGUUAAUGUGGAGAGAAAAAGAGGUCACAUUCCUCAGGUGGCAUCUGUUUGAACUGAAGAUGAUGAAAGUGGUGGGAGGAAGCCAAGGUUUCCUUUGGAGAGAAGUUUCCAAGCCAUGUUCCUGUUGCGAUGCUUUCUUUCCUACACAACUUGUUACCUCAGGCCUAGUCUGUCACUGAAUUAUGAAGAAGUAUAAACAAUCCCAGGUCUCAGGACGCACUUGGAGACCAGGCCCGCCAAUAUUCCAGUUAAGAGUUAACGCUACCAGAAAUGUGCAGUGCUUUAGGAUUUCAACUUGGGACUCGUUGAAGACCAGAAUGUUACAGUUAAUCUUGCCUUUCUCUUUUUGUUUCCAACGCCCUAUUUUCCCUUCAGUGUCUUUCCUCUUCGGUGUCCCUACCUCCUGAAAUAUAAAAGUUUAAUAAAAACACCGUCCUAUUUUAUUUUUUAAAAUAAAAGUUGACACUAAAUUUGAGAGCUAGUGUUGCAACUAAGCUCUUCGGAA